GAUGAACGCUGGCGGCGUGCCUAAUACAUGCAAGUAGAACGCUGAAGGGAGGAGCUUGCUCUUUCCGGAUGAGUUGCGAACGGGUGAGUAACGCGUAGGUAACCUGCCUGGUAGCGGGGGAUAACUAUUGGAAACGAUAGCUAAUACCGCAUAACAGUAGAUGUUGCAUGAUAUCUACUUAAAAGGUGCAAUUGCACCACUACCAGAUGGACCUGCGUUGUAUUAGCUAGUUGGGGAGGUAACGGCUCAACAAAGCGACGAUAGAUAGCCGACCUGGGAGGGUGGUCGGCCCACCCGGGACUGGGACCCGGGCCAGACUCCUUAGGGAGGCAGCAGUAGGGAAUCUUCGGCAAUGGACGGAAGUCUGACCGGGCCACGCCGGGUGAGUGGAGAAGGUUUUUGGAUUGUAAAGCUCUGUUGUAUGGGGAGAACGAGUGGGAUAGUUGAAAGUUCACACUGUGACGGUACCUUACCAGAAAGGGACGGCUAACUACGUG
Molecule: ribosomal RNA, 497 nt
Filed under: uncultured bacterium
Lineage: Bacteria
Description: partial 16S ribosomal RNA
Rfam family: Bacterial small subunit ribosomal RNA
Source: RNAcentral